GAUGAACGCUGGCGGCGUGCCUAAUACAUGCAAGUCGAGCGAACGGACGAGAAGCUUGCUUCUCUGAUGUUAGCGGCGGACGGGUGAGUAACACGUGGAUAACCUACCUAUAAGACUGGGAUAACUUCGGGAAACCGGAGCUAAUACCGGAUAAUAUUUUGAACCGCAUGGUUCAAAAGUGAAAGACGGUCUUGCUGUCACUUAUAGAUGGAUCCGCGCUGCAUUAGCUAGUUGGUAAGGUAACGGCUUACCAAGGCAACGAUGCAUAGCCGACCUGAGAGGGUGAUCGGCCACACUGGAACUGAGACACGGUCCAGACUCCUACGGGAGGCAGCAGUAGGGAAUCUUCCGCAAAGGGCGAAAGCCUGACGGAGCAACGCCGCGUGAGUGAUGAAGGUCUUCGGAUCGUAAAACUCUGUUAUUAGGGAAGAACAUAUGUGUAAGUUACUGUGCACAUCUUGACGGUACCUAAUCAGAAAGCCACGGCUAACUACGUG
Molecule: ribosomal RNA, 497 nt
Filed under: uncultured bacterium
Lineage: Bacteria
Description: partial 16S ribosomal RNA
Rfam family: Bacterial small subunit ribosomal RNA
Source: RNAcentral